AAUCCGCCGGAAGGAGGGCGCAGCAUUGCCGGUCUUCUCAUUGCCUGGCUGCUAGAGGAAACCCGAAGUCGGGAUUCUUUCUUUCCUGCUCUGAGAGGGACCAGGUCCCUCCUCCGUAGCUUUUGUCUCUCUAUUGCCUGCGCCGUGUCCUGGACUGCUCACGGGAGUUCUGCAGGAGACGCCGGAAUAUCUGGAAGCUGAAAAAUGGAAAUAAAUGGAAAGACCAGAAUAUUGAAGAUCACUACAGAAAUCUAAGGAUGAAAUCAACAGCCAAUCUGGGUGCCAUUGAGACAUCUAAAGCCUUACUAUGAGCCAGAUACCCAGGAAGAGGUUUUGGGAGGAUCCCAAAGACUCCCUGGUUGCAGCCAUGUCAAGACUGAUGCUGAGGAGGACCCCAACUGUCACGAGCAACAACUGCCUGGGGACAGAUCAAGAAGCUGUCACAGAUGGCAGAGAAAAACCUGAGAAAAGCGGGACAACCAGUCACAAUGAGUAAUUUAAUGAUAGCUAUGACAGUGGUGAUCACCAUUGCCAUGAGUAUUCCUUCAACAAGGGCUGACACAGAGAACAAUUACACUUAUUGGGCAUAUUUAUCAAUCUUGGCUGGCAAUAAUGCCUGGAUGUGAUCACUCUAUGACACAGUUACACAUGCUUUCUGGUCUCAGUAUUUACCAUAAUAAUCUGCUCCUAUAAUUGAGGCAUACUGCCCUCAAAAAACUAUUUGUAAACAGGAUUGGACCUGGUCAGAAAAAAUGAACGUACUUGUUUGGGAAGAUUGCAUUGCAGAACAGGCAGAGGUGCUGCACAACGAUUCCUAUGGAGUCAUUAUUGAUUGUUCCCCUAAGGGGAUGUUUAGCUUGAAUUGCACCUCUCAGUCUGCCUGCCAUGGCCACACUAUGUUCAGCUGGUCUGAACAAAAUGGUCAGAUGGUAGAAAUGAUAAGAAGUAUGGCAAGAGUUCCUAUUAUCUGGAAACAUGGUGGUAUAGUGGCACCUCAACCUCAAAUGAUAUGGCCUGCUGUAGGAGCUAAACAUAAGGAUUUGUGGAAACUAUUAAUGGCUCUUAAUAAGAUCAAAAUUUGGGAAAGGAUAAAAAAGCAUCUAGAAGGACACUCUAGAAACUUGGAUAUUGCAAAAUUAAAAGAACAAAUAUUUAAAGCAUCCCAGGCACACCUGACCUUAAUGCCAGGAACUGGAGUGCUUGAAGGAGCUGCAGAUGGAUUAGCAGCUAUUAACCCAUUAAAAUAGAUAAAAACACAAAAAAAAAAAAAAAA
This 1273-nucleotide long non-coding RNA is filed under the name Homo sapiens (human). Its description in RNAcentral is "ZNF433 and ZNF878 antisense RNA 1 (ZNF433-AS1)". The record is from RNAcentral. Lineage: Eukaryota; Metazoa; Chordata; Mammalia; Primates; Hominidae.